AUUAUUUAAGAGACUAAUGUUGUUAGUAAAUAAAAAUUAUGAAAGCAAAAAAUUAUGGCGGUAUUUUAAGCUUUUCAGAGGAAUUUGCUCUUUAAUGGAUAAAACACCUAAAUCUUACUUAAAUUUGUUAGUUCAAUUUGUAUACCACUAUAAAAACAAUUAAUAACUUUAAUUGUUAAAAUUUAUUAAAUUAAAUUAUGUUAAGUCAAGGUGCAGUAAAAAUUUAAGAAUGAAGUGAAUUACAUUUCUUUUCAGAGAAAAAAAAUUAAAUCUAUAAAUAGGAUUUGAAAGUAAAAUUAAAAUAGAAUGCUAAUUUGAAUAAAGCUCUAAAAUAUGUAC
Molecule: ribosomal RNA, 339 nt
Filed under: Rhipicephalus congolensis
Lineage: Eukaryota; Metazoa; Arthropoda; Arachnida; Ixodida; Ixodidae
Description: partial small subunit ribosomal RNA
Source: RNAcentral